CAGCGUAAAUUUCGCCCCAUUAUAUGAAACUAAUUAGGAAUAACAAUCCACAUUCCCAUUCACUCAUAUGUCAAUCCACUCUCUCUUCUCCCUCAAUUCUUCUCUACCGAAACCCUAGCCACCCCAAAUUCGGCUAGAUAAAACGGUUUCUCUGCCAUUUCACGGCGUAAAGACAACGGGAAAUCUACAUUAGUCCGCUGAGCAAACAAUUGUCCGUCGUGUUCUACAGAGGCCGAAAUCGGGUACAGAGAGGGCGCAAAUCGAAUUCGAUGAUAAUGAAGAGUCUGCUUGUUUUGGAUUUCUUUUGGGUUUGUUGUAAUAUGAUGAAAACAGAAAAUAAUGAAUGUUUUGUAACUUAGUUUUAGAAAACAAUGAAUGCUUUUGUAAUGGUUAACUGUUAACUUAGAUUUUGGGAAUGUAAAAGAGUUGUGAUGUACAUUCACAUCUAAAUAGUGUAACAUUUAUAUAUCAAA
This is a long non-coding RNA of Salvia hispanica, 473 nucleotides long. RefSeq lists it as uncharacterized. NCBI's taxonomy places the organism in Eukaryota, Viridiplantae, Streptophyta, Magnoliopsida, Lamiales, Lamiaceae. The record is from RefSeq and is a predicted model, not a curated record.